UACGUAGGGGGCAAGCGUUGUCCGGAUUUACUGGGCGUAAAGAGCGUGUAGGCGGCCAAGCAGGUCCGUUGUGAAAACUGGAGGCUUAACCUCCAGACGUCGACGGAAACCGCGUGGCUAGAGUCCGGAAGAGGAGAGUGGAAUUCCAGGUGUAGCGGUGAAAUGCGUAGAUAUCUGGAGGAACACCGGUGGCGAAGGCGGCAUCCUGGACCGGUAUUGACGCUGAGGCGCGAAAGCCAGGGGAGCAAACGGG
This 253-nucleotide ribosomal RNA is filed under the name uncultured bacterium. RNAcentral's name for it is "partial 16S ribosomal RNA". It matches the Rfam family "Bacterial small subunit ribosomal RNA", at positions 524 to 776 of the family's 1533-position model. The record is from RNAcentral.